Long non-coding RNA from Gallus gallus (chicken), 540 nucleotides. RefSeq lists it as uncharacterized. NCBI's taxonomy places the organism in Eukaryota, Metazoa, Chordata, Aves, Galliformes, Phasianidae. The transcript has 3 exons. The record is from RefSeq and is a predicted model, not a curated record.
AGGUUUUACUUUCAAAAUAAUUAUAUAGUCAGUUUUAAAGGAGUAGAAACAGAUAAAGAGAUAUGCAUAGGAUCAUGAUAAUGGACUGAAGCAUCAUUUUUCAUGACUUUCCAGUCAGUGGAGAUCUUGCACUCAGCUACAGCCAGUGAAAACUGCAAAUUACUUGUAUUAACAAUGUGCAGUUCCUGUUUAGCUUUGAAUCUAGAAAUACUAAUGAUAAGAACUCAGUGCAACAAAGAACAGAUUCAGAAAUGGCCUUUGUGAUGCAUGGAACUGUUCGUCUGGCAAAGAAGUGGAAGAGGGGACAUCCAGACAAGACCCCAAACACUGGACUCUAGUAAAGACUGCAAACAAAGCAGCCCUGUGAAAACAGUUGAAGAUAUUCACUGACAGCUUAACAUCAUAACUGAUAUGAGAUUGACUUGAUGUCUGUCAUCUCCAAUGCUGACAAGGGAAAGCUGGAUUCUCAGUGCCUGUGGAGUUGCUCUUGUUGGUGUCAUCAUGCAGAAGUCUUCUUUUAAGGUUGUCUGCCAUAUCCAG